UAACCUAGUGGUUAGAGUGUAGGGACGGCAGGUAGCCUAGUGGUUAGAGUGUAGGGACGGCAGGUAGCCUAGUGGUUAGAGUGUAGGGACGGCAGGUAGCCUAGUGGUUAGAGUGUAGGGACGGCAGGUAGCCUAGUGGUUAGAGUGUAGGGACGGCAGGUAACCUAGUGGUUAGAGUGUAGGGACGGCAGGUAGCCUAGUGGUUAGAGUGUAGGGACGGCAGGUAGCCUAGUGGUUAGAGUGUAGGGACGGCAGGUAGCCUAGUGGUUAGAGUGUAGGGACGGCAGGUAGCCUAGUGGUUAGAGUGUAGGGACGGCAGGUAGCCUAGUGGUUAGAGUGUAGGGACGGCAGGUAGCCUAGUGGUUAGAGUGUAGGGACGGCAGGUAGCCUAGUGGUUAGAGUGUAGGGACGGCAGGUAGCCUAGUGGUUAGAGUGUAGGGACGGCAGGUAGCCUAGUGGUUAGAGUGUAGGGACGGCAGGUAGCCUAGUGGUUAGAGUGUAGGGACGGCAGGUAGCCUAGUGGUUAGAGUGUAGGGACGGCAGGUAGCCUAGUGGUUAGAGUGUAGGGCCGGCAGGUAGCCUAGUGGUUAGAGUGUAGGGACGGCAGGUAGCCUAGUGGUUAGAGUGUAGGGAUGGCAGGUAGCCUAGUGGUUAGAGUGUAGGGACGGCAGGUAGCCUAGUGGUUAGAGUGUAGGGAUGGCAGGUAGCCUAGUGGUUAGAGUGUAGGGAUGGCAGGUAGCCUAGUGGUUAGAGUGUAGGGACGGCAGGUAGCCUAGUGGUUAGAGUGUAGAGGCGGCAGGUAGCCUAGUGGUUAGAGUGUAGAGGCGGCAGGUAGCCUAGUGGUUAGAGUGUAGGGACGGCAGGUAGCCUAGUGGUUGGAGUGUAGGGACGGCAGGUAGCCUAGUGGUUAGAGUGUAGGGACGGCAGGUAGCCUAGUGGUUAGAGUGUAGGGACGGCAGGUAGCCUAGUGGUUAGAGUGUAGGGACGGCAGGUAGCCUAGUGGUUAGAGUGUAGGGGCGGCAGGUAGCCUAGUGGUUAGAGUGUAGGGACGGCAGGUAGCCUAGUGGUUAGAGUGUAGGGACGGCAGGUAGCCUAGUGGUUAGAGUGUAGGGACGGCAGGUAGCCUAGUGGUUAGAGUGUAGGGACGGCAGGUAGCCUAGUGGUUAGAGUGUAGGGGCGGCAGGUAGCCUAGUGGUUAGAGUGUAGGGACGGCAGGUAGCCUAGUGGUUAGAGUGUAGGGACGGCAGGUAGCCUAGUGGUUAGAGUGUAGGGACGGCAGGUAGCCUAGUGGUUAGAGUGUAGGGACGGCAGGUAGCCUAGUGGUUAGAGUGUAGGGAAGGCAGGUAGCCUAGUGGUUAGAGUGUAGGGACGGCAGGUAGCCUAGUGGUUAGAGUGUAGGGACGGCAGGUAGCCUCGUGGUUAGAGUGUAGGGGCGGCAGGUAGCCUAAUGGUUAGAGUGUAGGGACGGCAGGUAGCCUAGUGGUUAGAGUGUAGGGACGGCAGGUAGCCUAGUGGUUAGAGUGUAGGGACGGCAGGUAGACUAGUGGUUAGAGUGUAGGGGCGGCAGGUAACCUAGUGGUUAGAGUGUAGGGACGGCAGGUAGCCUAGUGGUUAAAGUGUAGGGACGGCAGGUAGCCUAGUGGUUAAAGUGUAGGGACGGCAGGUAGCCUAGUGGUUAGAGUGUAGGGACGGCAGGUAGCCUAGUGGUUAGAGUGUAGGGGCUGCAGGUAACCUAGUGGUUAGAGUGUAGGGACGGCAGGUAGCCUAGUGGUUAGAGUGUAGGGACGGCAGGUAGCCUAGUGGUUAGAGUGUAGG
Oncorhynchus keta (chum salmon) is the source of this 1815-nucleotide long non-coding RNA. RefSeq lists it as uncharacterized. The record is from RefSeq and is a predicted model, not a curated record. The transcript is spliced from 3 exons. NCBI's taxonomy places the organism in Eukaryota, Metazoa, Chordata, Actinopteri, Salmoniformes, Salmonidae.